ACGUCACGAUUAAUGAGGCGUUCAUCCUGAGCUGAUCAGGCACUGAACGGGGAGUAUUCCAUCGCCGUGCUGAGCACAUAGCGAACUCCUGCAAAAACUCAACACCACCUCGCCCUGCUACACAUUAUCUGACG
This 134-nucleotide small RNA is filed under the name Xenorhabdus szentirmaii DSM 16338. Its description in RNAcentral is "EFASI RNA". It matches the Rfam family "EFASI RNA". Lineage: Bacteria; Pseudomonadati; Pseudomonadota; Gammaproteobacteria; Enterobacterales; Morganellaceae. The record is from Rfam by way of RNAcentral.